UAAUACGUAGGGUGCGAGCGUUAAUCGGAAUUACUGGGCGUAAAGCGUGCGCAGGCGGUUGUGCAAGACAGAUGUGAAAUCCCCGGGCUUAACCUGGGAACUGCAUUUGUGACUGCAUGGCUGGAGUGCGGCAGAGGGGGAUGGAAUUCCGCGUGUAGCAGUGAAAUGCGUAGAUAUGCGGAGGAACACCGAUGGCGAAGGCAAUCCCCUGGGCCUGCACUGACGCUCAUGCACGAAAGCGUGGGGAGCAAACAGGAUUAGAUACCCUGGUAGUCCACGCCCUAAACGAUGUCAACUGGUUGUUGGAGGGGUUCCCCUUCAGUAACGAAGCUAACGCGUGAAGUUGACCGCCUGGGGAGUACGGCCGCAAGGUUGAAACUCAAAUGAAUUGACGG
This 395-nucleotide ribosomal RNA is filed under the name uncultured bacterium. RNAcentral describes it as "bacterial SSU rRNA". It matches the Rfam family "Bacterial small subunit ribosomal RNA", at positions 521 to 916 of the family's 1533-position model. The record is from RNAcentral.